AUGUUAUCUCCUGAGAUUGGACAGCUUACUAUGCAUUUUCUUGUACUGCACAGGAACUUGUUCUAUGGUAUUAUCCCUAGAGAGAUGGGAGAUUUACGAGAGCUGAAGGUGUUGGAUCUGGGGUACAAUAACUUCAAUGGAUCAAUUCCAUCAGAGCUAAUAAACAUUUUAUCCCUGGAAUUUAUCUUUCUUAAAAGAAACAGACUUUAUGGUGAUUUACCUCUUGAACUAAAUGAGCUCAUCAGUCUGUGUGAGUCUCGGGUUCGCCACGGCAGGACUUUCUCAAAUAGGAUGCCCGCUGCAAGGUUUGUCUAA
RNAcentral lists this ribosomal RNA (315 nucleotides) under Triticum aestivum (bread wheat). Its description in RNAcentral is "partial small subunit ribosomal RNA". The record is from RNAcentral. Lineage: Eukaryota; Viridiplantae; Streptophyta; Magnoliopsida; Poales; Poaceae.